Molecule: long non-coding RNA, 816 nt
Filed under: Lonchura striata (white-rumped munia)
Lineage: Eukaryota; Metazoa; Chordata; Aves; Passeriformes; Estrildidae
Description: domestica (Bengalese finch) lncRNA (ENSLSDG00000003318.1)
Source: RNAcentral
GGGCUGCUGUGGGUCAGCCCUGGGCUUGCUGUGGGUCAGAUGUGGGUCAGAUGUGGGGCAGCCCCACUGUGGCUCAGCCCUGCCCUGGGUCAGCCCCAGGCCCAGUGUGGGUCAGCCGUGGGGCAGCCCUGCCGUGGGUCAGAUGUGGGGCAGCCCCAGCCCCUCUGUGGGUCGGCCGUAGGUCAGAUGUGGGGCAGCCCUGCCGUGGGUCAGCCCCAGCCCCUCUAUGGGUCAGCUGUGGGUCAGAGGUGGGUCAGCCCUGCCGUGGGUCAGCUGUGGGUCAGGGCCGGCCCCUCUGCGGGUCAGCUGUGGGGCAGCCCCUCUGGAUGUGGGUCAGAUGUGGGGCAAGGUCUCUAUGGGUCAGCCCCAGCCCCUCUAUGGGUCGGCCAUGGGUCAGAUGUGGGGCAGGGUCUCUCUGGGUCAGAUGUGGGGCAGCCCCUCUGGAUGUGGGUCAGAUGUGGGGCAGGGCUGCUGUGGGUCAGAUGUGGGUCUCUAUGGGUCGGCCAUGAGUCAGAUGUGGGGCAGCCCCUCUGGAUGUGGGUCAGCUGUGGGUCAGAUGUGGGGCAGGGCUGCCAUGGGUCUCAGUGGGUCUCUAUGGGUCGGCCGUGGGUCAGCAGUGGGUCAGAUGUGGGGCAGGGCGGGCAGGCUCUGUGGGUCCCUGUGGGUCUCUGUGGGUCAGAUGUGGGGCAGGGCGGGCAGGCUCUGUGGGUCUCUAUGGGUCGCAGUGGGUCAGAUGUGGGGCAGGGCGGGCAGGCUCAGUGGGUCUCUGUGGGUCUCUAUGGGUCAGAUGUGGGUCGCAGUGGGUCAGAUGUGGGG